AGGGGUGUAGCUCAUUGGUAAAGUGCUUACCUAUCAUGCCUGAGGCCCUGGGUUCAAUUCCCAGCACUGUCA
RNAcentral lists this transfer RNA (72 nucleotides) under Heterocephalus glaber (naked mole-rat). It matches the Rfam family "tRNA". From Rfam's summary of the family: Transfer RNA (tRNA) molecules are approximately 80 nucleotides in length. Their secondary structure includes four short double-helical elements and three loops (D, anti-codon, and T loops). Lineage: Eukaryota; Metazoa; Chordata; Mammalia; Rodentia; Bathyergidae. The record is from Rfam by way of RNAcentral.